UGCAGAACUGUUUCAAUGGCAACUAUCACAGAGUUGAAAAGCGGUCAGCCUGAAGUUCCCCUAGAUCGGGAGUUCGUGGCCAAUGAGCUCAAUGUCGCAGAAGAUUCAAGUGCCAAAGCAGUUAAGGGAGAGCUCAAAGGAAAACUCUUCCUAAGGGGCUCAGCAGCAGUGUCUUCACACGAAUCACAUGGCCAUCGUAAUGCAGAGUCAUAACACUGAGCUCUGCAGCCAUCUCAAGAGGAAGUCAUAUGAUCACAAUUAAAACAAUUUCCCGUAAAGAGGCCAAAACAUUCUGUCCAGC
This 301-nucleotide long non-coding RNA is filed under the name Sinocyclocheilus anshuiensis. RNAcentral's name for it is "lncRNA (ENSSANG00000051271.1)". The record is from RNAcentral. Lineage: Eukaryota; Metazoa; Chordata; Actinopteri; Cypriniformes; Cyprinidae.